RNAcentral lists this non-coding RNA (151 nucleotides) under Boseongicola aestuarii. Its description in RNAcentral is "Ruegeria cis2 sRNA". It matches the Rfam family "Ruegeria cis2 sRNA". From Rfam's summary of the family: Cis-encoded. Targets ABC transporter. Functions in transport. Lineage: Bacteria; Pseudomonadati; Pseudomonadota; Alphaproteobacteria; Rhodobacterales; Paracoccaceae. The record is from Rfam by way of RNAcentral.
GAAGAUUUCAUCGGGUUGUAGUUCACGAAAAUAUAACCGCGCCCCUGAUCAAUGAUAUGGAACAGCGGAUUCCAGUCGAACAGGGCAACCAUAUGCGCGGGCAACGUGUUGGCCACAAACAUCUUGCCUGACGCAAACAUAUUCGCGCGCG